GGGGUUUGGUCGGGUCCUUGCUGUGUGAGACACUGUUAGAGCAUUCUAGUGGGUUGUACUACUCAACUCCAAGAGAUGGAUGAGGUGCCUCUGCAGCAGACUUUGGAGAAAGAUGAUGCUACUGCUUAGUCUCCAUAGGAUUCUAUCCGUUAUUCCUUAUAUUUUGAAAUACUCUAAUAUGCUUAAGUUUUAAAUUCUGACUCCUUAUCGAAUGACUGUAAGCUUAACAAACUUACU
Molecule: small RNA, 237 nt
Filed under: Vigna angularis var. angularis
Lineage: Eukaryota; Viridiplantae; Streptophyta; Magnoliopsida; Fabales; Fabaceae
Description: Non-protein coding transcript
Source: RNAcentral